This 483-nucleotide ribosomal RNA is filed under the name uncultured bacterium. RNAcentral describes it as "partial 16S ribosomal RNA". It matches the Rfam family "Bacterial small subunit ribosomal RNA", at positions 30 to 506 of the family's 1533-position model. The record is from RNAcentral.
AUUGAACGCUGGCGGCAGGCCUAACACAUGCAAGUCGAGCGGAUGAAGGGAGCUUGCUCCUGGAUUCAGCGGCGGACGGGUGAGUAAUGCCUAGGAAUCUGCCUGGUAGUGGGGGAUAACGUCCGGAAACGGGCGCUAAUACCGCAUACGUCCUGAGGGAGAAAGUGGGGGAUCUUCGGACCUCACGCUAUCAGAUGAGCCUAGGUCGGAUUAGCUAGUUGGUGGGGUAAAGGCCUACCAAGGCGACGAUCCGUAACUGGUCUGAGAGGAUGAUCAGUCACACUGGAACUGAGACACGGUCCAGACUCCUACGGGAGGCAGCAGCGGGGAAUAUUGGACAAUGGGCGAAAGCCUGAUCCAGCCAUGCCGCGUGUGUGAAGAAGGUCUGCGGAUUGUAAAGCACUUUAAGUUGGGAGGAAGGGCAGUAAGUUAAUACCUUGCUGUUUGGACGUUACCAACAGAAUAAGCACCGGCUAACUUCGU